This 429-nucleotide ribosomal RNA is filed under the name Chloroflexota bacterium. RNAcentral describes it as "Chloroflexi bacterium partial 16S ribosomal RNA". It matches the Rfam family "Bacterial small subunit ribosomal RNA", at positions 355 to 776 of the family's 1533-position model. The record is from RNAcentral. Lineage: Bacteria; Bacillati; Chloroflexota.
UGGGGAAUAUUGCACAAUGGGCGCAAGCCUGAUGCAGCCAUGCCGCGUGUGUGAAGAAGGCCUUCGGGUUGUAAAGCACUUUCAGCGGGGAGGAAGGCGAUAAGGUUAAUAACCUUGUCGAUUGACGUUACCCGCAGAAGAAGCACCGGCUAACUCCGUGCCAGCAGCCGCGGUAAUACGGAGGGUGCAAGCGUUAAUCGGAAUUACUGGGCGUAAAGCGCACGCAGGCGGUCUGUCAAGUCGGAUGUGAAAUCCCCGGGCUCAACCUGGGAACUGCAUUCGAAACUGGCAGGCUAGAGUCUUGUAGAGGGGGGUAGGAUUCCAGGUGUAGCGGUGAAAUGCGUAGAGAUCUGGAGGAAUACCGGUGGCGAAGGCGGCCCCCUGGACAAAGACUGACGCUCAGGUGCGAAAGCGGGGGGAGCAAACAGG